UACGUAGGGCGCAAGCGUUGUCCGGAAUUAUUGGGCGUAAAGAGCUCGUAGGCGGCUUGUCACGUCGGUUGUGAAAGCCCGGGGCUCAACCCCGGAACGGCACCCGAGACGGCAGGGCUGGAGACCGGGAGAGGAGGGUGGAAUAGCCAGUGUAGAGGUGAAAUUCGUAGAUAUUGGCUGGAACACCGGUGGCGAAAGCGGCUCUCUGGCCCGGUUCUGACGCUGAGGAGCGAAAGCGUGGGGAGCGAACAGG
This 253-nucleotide ribosomal RNA is filed under the name uncultured bacterium. RNAcentral's name for it is "partial 16S ribosomal RNA". It matches the Rfam family "Bacterial small subunit ribosomal RNA", at positions 524 to 776 of the family's 1533-position model. The record is from RNAcentral.